RNAcentral lists this ribosomal RNA (750 nucleotides) under uncultured Methanocalculus sp. RNAcentral describes it as "bacterial SSU rRNA". It matches the Rfam family "Archaeal small subunit ribosomal RNA", at positions 102 to 856 of the family's 1478-position model. The record is from RNAcentral. Lineage: Archaea; Methanobacteriati; Methanobacteriota; Methanomicrobia; Methanomicrobiales; Methanocalculaceae.
GGAUAAUCUGCCCUCAGGUGAGGAAUAAUCCCGGGAAACUGGGGCUAAUGCCUCAUAGGAGACGGGUGCUGGAAUGCUCUGUCUCCGAAAGGUCCGCCGCCUGAGGAUGAGUCUGCGUCCGAUUAGGUUGUUGUUGGGGUAACGGCCCAACAAGCCUUUGAUCGGUACGGGUUGUGGGAGCAAGAGCCCGGAGAUGGAUUCUGAGACAUGAAUCCAGGCCCUACGGGGCGCAGCAGGCGCGAAAACUUUACAAUGCGAGCAAUCGUGAUAAGGAAACCCUGAGUGCCUGUCAAUGCAGGCUGUUCUGGUGUCUAACACACACCAGGAGAAAGGGCGGGGCAAGACCGGUGCCAGCCGCCGCGGUAAUACCGGCUGCUCGAGUGAUAGCCACUUUUACUGGGCUUAAAGCGUUCGUAGCUUGGUCGUUAAGUCUCUGGGGAAAUCUUUUGGCUCAACCAAAAGGCGUCUCAGGGAAACUGACGAUCUUGGAACCGGGAGAGGUAAGACGUACUUCGGGGGUAGGAGUGAAAUCUUGUAAUCCCCGAGGGACGACCGAUGGCGAAGGCAUCUUACCAGAACGGCUUCGACAGUGAGGGACGAAAGCUGGGGGAGCAAACCGGAUUAGAUACCCGGGUAGUCCCAGCCGUAAACGAUGUGCGUUAGGUGUGUCAGUGACCACGAGUCGCUGAGGUGCCGAAAGGGAAACCGUGAAACGCACCGCCUGGGAAGUACGGUCGCAAGGCUGAAACU